UCGAUGAGACUGGACGUAUCGCUCUUAGGCGAUCGUAUUAUUCGGUCAAUUUGAACAUUUAUUUCUUGACACCUGAACGUCAGUGAAUUAACAUUUCGCAAUAGACGACUAUUUAUUUAUUUUUUAUCCUCAACGCGGAUAUUAUUAUUUAUUUAAUUUUAGUACUUUGGUAAAAUUGAGUAAAUUUUUCGUCAUCUCGUUAGCAAUUUUUUAUUCCGGCUCAACGGCUCCUCUCGACUCGGUGAUCGAACCGUGCCGAGCGGAAAUAGUGCGAAAAAGUAAUUGCAGCAAAUAUCGAGGCGAAGCGAAAUGGCGAAUUGAUGAAAAAUCAAUAUUCAAAGAAAGUGAGAUCGGCACGAUAGAAUUUUUGCGCAACAUCAUGAAGGGCUCAUCGAACGACAAUGGAAAGAUCUCCGAUUCCGGUAACACCAACUCGUGCGUCAGUCAAUCGCAGAGGAGUAGCGGCAGCUCGUUGUCGCGGAGAAACACGAAUCAGUCCGAGAGCAGCGGUUACUGUGGUGGACACCCUUUGACGUGUGACUCGAGUAAUUACGCCUUACCGCAACCGAUCAGCAGGCACAACCAGAAAGAGCAUAAAAAGAAGAAAUCAAAAACAUCAACGACGAAGAACAUCGGUAACGUCGGUACUGAAUUCAGAUCGCAGAUUAAUUCUGAAAAACAAAACGACGUGGGAACAUACGAUUCGUACGGCACUUCUUCCGAUUUUGCUACUAAUAGUAAAAAAGCAGAAGAAAUAGCCGAUGUAGAGUUGGCCGACGACACAGGACUAGGGGAUCACAACGGCGACUCUAACUCUACAGAACUCGAGAGGGGAAUUGGUACGAUUACCAAUCCUCUGGAAGAUUCGACAUCUAAUAUCAAUGCGACAUUCAGCGUGGUUAUAUCGAUGAAAAAAGGCCUCGUCGUCGAUGUUACACCUUCCUUAAGUACGAUACUCGGCCACACGAGAGAAUCGUGGAUCAAUCGUUCCUUCAUCGAAUUUGUACAUCCGAAAGACAAACAAGCGUUUGCCGAUCAUCUUGCCAAGAACAUCAGUCUUCCUUACGAAGAUCAUGACAAGGGUCUUGAUGGACAUCGGACAAGUAUAUUUUGCAGUCUACAAAAAAACAAAGAGCGAAGGUCAACAGUUGGAAGUGCAAGCGACGAAAGCAGUUACCAUGCAACAACGUCCAAUCCGUACCUUCCCUUUCAUCUGAUAACGAGUACCAAAGCUUUUCGCGAUCCUGCUAGUGAGGAGAAACUUCAAAUGUUUUUUCUCAUUGUCAACGCCGAGCCAAUUAUGCCCAUCUACCAAGCCCCCGAAGAGAUGAUAAUAUCGACGAUAUUUUCAACUCGGCACGAUUCCAACUGCAUCCUGAUAAACGUCGAAGUCGACGUGGUGCAAUACUUUGGUUAUAUGCCACACGAAAUGAUAGGUCGUUCGGUGUUCGACUUUUAUCAUCCUGAUGAUCUGCCGUACCUCAAAGAAGUCUACGAGACCGUUGUUAAAAUGGACGGAUUGCCAUUUCGCUCAAAACCAUACAGAUUCGCAACACAAAACAGCGAUUACGUUGUAUUGGAGACCGAGUGGUCGGCAUUUUUCAAUCCCUGGAGUGAAAAACUAGAAUUUGUCGUAGGUCAUCACAGAGUACUCCGUGGACCAAAGAAUCCGAACGUUUUUCAAGCUGCGCCGGAUCCUCGAAAAAUCAGCUCGCUGGAAAAUAUAAGCGAAGAAAUAUUCAAAGAAUCGAAGAUCAUACAGAGCGAAAUACAAGCUGUUCUCAAUGAGAAAAUCGAAAGAAUGGAAGACGACGGAGCCUACGAGAUUACUUCUAGUUCUAAAAAUCUUGACACGUUCGUGGAGAACCUGCUGCGGGAGGUCAAGCCUCCGGCGCCAGUCUCCAAGGAGCAUUUCGCAACUGACCACAAGAGCUUUUUGGGAUCACGAAAUCCCUUGUUGCAGGAACACGACAGCGCCAUACUGGGCGCAAUAUCACCUCAUGAUAGGUACUGCGAUAGCAAAUCGUCAACCGAGACUCCACCGAGUUACGGUCAGCUCAAUUACAAUGAGAAAAUAACGAGAUAUUUCGAUAGCAAACUUCUCGUUAGCGCCACUUAUGGGGAUGGAGAUAACACGAAUCUGAGUGUGCCGAGCAACAAGGAAGUCAGAAAAUCGAGCUCGAACUUGACUGGCACGAAAAACACGACACUGAGCGGUGAGAAUUUGAGCAGCGGCUCGAAUAAUCGUACUAGUUACGACAGCCCCGAUGACGUUGACAAACCACGCAGCGUCAAUCCAAUGCCUACGGGAGAUUUGGAAAUACCGACACUCACCGAAUCGAUGUUGAAUAAGCAUAACCGGGAAAUGGAGAAACUCCUGAUCCAGCAACACAAAGAGUGGCGACGUAAUUUAAAGUAUAGAAAAGAGGACAAAGAUUCAAAGAAUAAUGGUACGGAGGAUAACCAAACCAGGCCAAGUAACAAGCGGAGUAAACACCAAACGAAAACGUGCAGUACCAAAAAACGCAGAAUCGAUGAUCACGAGGGGGAACAAUGCAAGAUUCCAAAAUGCGAUGAGGAUGCCAAAACGGGUACCGUAGCUCCUGUACUCGCUGCGACGAAUGCAUCAGUGCACGCGGGUGACAAAGUCGCACCAGAAACCGCAGCGACUCAAGACUCCAAUGUUUGGCCACCGGCUACGGGGGCCGCAUCACCACAACUGUCUCAUCCCCAUUUUUACGUGGCAGCUUCAAACAAUGAACCGCGCAUGGAAUCCAGAGGCCCAGAAUUUUCGUCUUUAGUUCCAUUGUUUUAUGUUCCCUUACCACGAACUGUUCCGUCGACCACUAAUAGUCAACCUCAGCAGGUUACUUACGUUUCUUACGCCACAGCACCAUUGGCAGGUGUAAUUUAUCCACCGGUGGUCUGUGCACCAGCACCGGUAACGACGAUGUACCGGCCGUUUUUGAUACCGGGAUCGGUGCCAAUUAAUCGAGAAAUACAGCAAACUAAUUCGGCGAAUGCCCAAGAAGAAAAUUCGUCGAAAAGCAUUAAGCGACCGGCGUCGCACGCCACGAGUAUCAAAGGCGAGGUCGGUAGUACAAUGGCAUUGUCCGAAUCUUCGAAAAAACAACUCUUUUUGGGCGAUCAAUUCUCAUCUUGCAUCAGCAUCGAUGGUCUUUGCUCGAGUCUUGUGCCUAACACGAAACCGGAAACCAGCACGAACAGUCAAUUUAACUCGAGCCUCGAGGAUUCUAGUGAUUCAAGUUUUUACAGUAGCUUCUUGACGAAAAGUAACCAGAGUAGUUACGACCGAAGUGAAAAUAUUGUCCCUCACCAUCCACAGAAAAUUCGAAUUCGAAAACAACAGCUUAAUCUGCCGAGCAGAGGUCCGCCAUGGCAAGAGGACGUGAUGAUGACCGAUCAAUUGAUAUAUCGAUACCAAUUAACGCCAAAGCCAUUGAACGAAGUGCUCGAAGCCGAUAUGAAGAUCCUUCGAAAUUUGGAUCAACCGUCGAUGGUGACCGACCAACUGGCACAAAUGUACUCCGACAUGGAGCUGAGCAAAGUUGAUUUUUCUGCGAAACUUAUACCUUGCGAACACGACACGCCAGUGGGCAGUGAGGGCGGCAGCAGCGGCGAGAAACAACGUAACGUAGCACUCGAGCCGAAUAGCAUAAGGAGUGGCAUUAACAACGCAAUGGUGAUGACCGUCUAUGAAAAGAAUGCGCAGCCAACAUCAACCGGGGAGACUUGAAGCGUUCGAUACGUGCAUAGCGCUCGCGGUCGUCAUUUUAUCGUCGUACAAAUGCACUAUGAAAAAUGUUAAAUGUGGCAGUCUGACGAUUUAUACAUCGAUUGAAAACCGGAGAAGAUGCAGAACUAGAAGGGAACGACGUGGAGCACUCGGCGUCCGGUCUACUGAACUGAUAACGUCAGCGCCGAAAAAUAACGAAACAACAAAAACAGCGAAUGCGAUAUUCCGAUGUAUAUUUCUCAGCGAGCUGAUCGAACAAAAGAGGUCAAAAAAAGGAAAUGAAAGGCCUGGAAUCUUGUGGCGAAAGGAAUAAUAUUCGGUCAAAUAUUUUCAUCAUUUUUUUGACGGCUGCGACGCACAAGGGAAAUGAUUAAUCGUCCGGUACGUUUAGUUAUUUUCUUCGAGACAAAUGACUCCGGAAAUUCUUAAGUUAUUGGACGAAUGGGAAAGGAGGUCGAAAGUCUAUUAUUACGAUCGGGAGAUGAUUCUUCACCAAAUGUGUAAUUUCAGUGUUUCAUUUGUGCUUAUCGAUUUUUUUUUCGUCGAGUUAACAUGCAACUUCGGGGCCGGGUUAAAGUUCCGAACGGUGAGAAAUCAGAAGGCUCAAAAGUUCGAAAAUCUCGCUAGUGCGAUAUAUCUAUAUAUUUCGAAUCCCAGCUAGAUUUUGGGACUUUU
Molecule: unclassified non-coding RNA, 4432 nt
Filed under: Venturia canescens
Lineage: Eukaryota; Metazoa; Arthropoda; Insecta; Hymenoptera; Ichneumonidae
Description: period circadian protein, transcript variant X2
Source: RNAcentral